Alligator mississippiensis (American alligator) is the source of this 6390-nucleotide long non-coding RNA. RefSeq lists it as uncharacterized. The transcript is spliced from 2 exons. Lineage: Eukaryota; Metazoa; Chordata; Crocodylia; Alligatoridae. The record is from RefSeq and is a predicted model, not a curated record.
UCGUGCGCCGCUAACGGCAUCGCAGCCAGGAGAAAGCCGGAGAAAAUAAAACCGAGCUCAGUGCCGCGCUCCGGUGGUGACAACCGGGCGUUGCGGCGCGGAGGUACGGCAGGUAACUAGCCGGCUCCGAGCUGCGGUGCGCCCCGGGCCCUGUAGACCGGAUUUCAGGCUGCGGAAAUAAAGGCCGCUCCGCGCUGCCCUUCUGGGGCUGGAGCCCGGAACAAGCCCGGCUCCGUGCCGCCCGCCCUGCGCGGAGCAGCCAGGAUUUAAAGCCAGAAAAAAUAAACACCUGUCGUGUGCUGCUCCCCUGGCUUUGAAACCGGGCUUCGCAGCCAAGAGAGGAGGGCAGCGAGUGGGGAAAAAAGCGGCUCGGGCAGGCGGCUGAGAAAGGCAGAGAGAGAGGAAGAAAAAAGGCCGCGCUUGGGGCGUAACUCGAGCAGUGCCCGCGGCCGAGACGAGGCGGGCUCGCGCUGCUCGGCGCGGACACAGCGAUCCCGGCCCGCGCCGCGCGGCAGGGCCGGCAUCAGAGCCGCGUCUUCCCGUUGGCCGCUCUCAGGAGUGCGGCGAUUGGCUGGCAGGGCUGUGUGGGCGGGGUCAGGCCUACGCCGGCCUUGUCUUUGUUCCCUCUGAUUAGCCGCUGCCAGAGGAGGCGGGUUCAGGACUCGCCCGCCUUCUCCGCGGUCUGAUUGGCUGCAAUGGAUUACUGAGAGGGGUGGCGAUUGGUCCGACUCCUGUCCCCAACGGAGCCGUUCAGCCGGCCGGGCGCCGGCGUGCGCCGCGGGGAAGUGGGUGCGUCCCCCUUUGCCCCAAGCCGCGCGCCCCGCUUCCGGACCGGUGCUGCCUGGCGGGCUCCGUUCCGACCUGUGUCGUUGGCAGCAAGAUUUGCACGGAGUUUCCCCUUUUUGAAGGAGAAAAGAAAAAGAAAAACCCGUUGUUCAGUAAGACGUGCAAGGGAUCACUUCAAUUCCAGUGGAGAGUUGGGGAACGUCGCUGUAAAUUAAGUAAAAUAUUGAACCGAGGGGAUUGAAGUGACAGUGUUAAUCGUUGUGUGCUUACUUUGGGAAAUCGUAUGUAUGCAAGAAGAGUGUGCGUGCGUGUGUGUGGGAUAGGUGCCAUAAUUAGCAGUGAACCCACUACUGUCUACAGAAGGGGAAAUCGAGAUAGGUAUGCACGUAUUCCGAUGUUUGCUUCCCGACCUACAAUAAUGUGUGCAGCUCAUACAUCUAUAACAGGGGCAUUGUGCACCCAUGGCGAGUGUCAGAAAUACACUUCUCGGCGCGGCCUCCCGUGCUCCGAGCUGGGCGCAGCAGCCGCCGGAUCAAGGCACCGAGGGGAAAUCCCUGCUGAGUGCUGCCCUCGUGGGGGUACCGCCGGGAACAAGCCAGCUCCGUGCUGCCGUGCUGUGGCUCACCCGCGGGCCUGCAGCCCGGCUGUAGGGCAGAGGAAAUAAAGGCGGCUCCGCGCUGCCCUCCUGGGGCUGGAGCGGCGCUUGGAGCCCGGAACAAAGCCGGCGCCGUGCCGCCCUCCCUGCGCUCCAACCUGCGCGCUGCAGCUGGGUUUUCAAGCCAAAGAAAAGAAAAUCUUCCCCUGCACUACUUCCCUGUGCUUCCCUGUGGGCUUUGCAGCCGCGAGAGGAGGACAGCGAGAGCACGAAAAGCGGCCCCGGCCGCGCACCUGUAGAUCAGGCAGGCGAGAGAUAAAGGCAGGGAGAGAAGAAAAAAGGCGUCGCUCGCUCGGGGCGUUCCCGGAGCAGUGCCCGCGGCCGGGGCCAGGCGGGUUCGCGCUGCUCGGGGCGGACACACGAUUCCCGGGACAUUGAUCCCAGCCCGAGGAGCGCGGCAGGCCCGGGAUCGGAGUCUUGCGUUUCUAUUGGUCAUAUUAAGGCAUGAGGCGAUUGGGUGGAGUUGUCACUUGGGCGGGAUCAGGGCCGCUCCGCCCUUCUUUGCUCUGAUUGGCCUCUGCUGGAUGAGGCGGGUCCGGGAGCACGCCCUCCUUGUUCGCAUUCUGAUUGGCUGCCGGGGAACGGUGGGUGAGCUGCCCUCUUCUGUGUGCUGAUUGGUCCGACUCCGAUCCUUAGCGGCCCUCUUUAGCUGUUCGUCUGUGUCCUCCUGGCUCAGCUGUGCCCAGAGCUCACGUCCCGCAGCUGUCCCGGACACCCGGGCGGUCCCGGAGCGCUGCGGCAGGCUGUUCUGGCGGCCACGGCGGGUCGUGCGGGAGAUUGCGUUCCCCACGCUGCGGGGCCUGUCAGGCUCUCUUCUGAGAUGGGGAUGGUGAUAUAGAUAUGCAUGUAUUCUCCCGGAGCAGCCGGGAUUUCAAGCCAGAAAAAAUAAAGACGUGGUUCGGUCUGAGCGCUGCAGCCAGGAGGAGCGGUGCUGACGAUAGGAGGACAACCCGCUGCUCAGAGCUGCCCUCCUGUGGCCGCGCCCGGCAUUGCUGCGGGAAGAUGCGGGCGGACACCCAACGGUCGGGAGUGCCGCUUCGAGCCCGGAGAGGCGGGCAGGGAACUAAGUGGCUCGGUGCCGCCCUCCCGUGCCAAAACCUUGGCAUUGCAGCCAGGAGAAAGCCAGAGAAAAUAAAACCCAGCUCAGUGCCGCGCUCCUGCGCUGAUAACCGGGAAUUGCAGCGUGGAGGUAGGUACUGCAGGUAACUAACCGGCUCCGAGGUGCCCGGGGCACUGCAGCUCGGAUUUCAGGCAGCGGAAAUAAAGGCCGCUCCGCGCUGCCCGCCUGGGGCUGGACCGGGGCUCGGAGCCCGGAGUUACGGGCCGGGAACAAAUCCGGCUCCGUGCCGCCCUCCCUGCGCUUCACCCUGCGCGGAGCAGCCGGGAUUUCAAGCCACAGAAAAUGAAAACCUGCCCUGGCUUUGAACCUGGGCUUCGCAGCCGAGAGGGGAGGGCAGCGAGAGCAGAAACGCGGCUGCAGCCGCGCACCUGAAGCUCCGGAAGGCGGGAAAUAAAGGCAGAGAGAGAAGAAGAAAAAAGGCCUCAGGGGGGAUGUAACUGGAGCAGUGCCCGCGGCCGGGGCCAGGCGGGUUCGCGCUGCUCGGGGCGGACACACGAUCCCGGGACAGGGAUCCCGGCCCGGGAGUGCGGCUGGGCCGGCAUCGGAGCCUCGCGUUUCCAUUGGCCAUGUUAAGACGUGAGGCGAUUGGGUGGAGUGGCCGCGUGGGAGGGCCGCUCCGUCCUUCUUCGUUCUCAUUGGCCUCUGCCGUAGAAGGGAGCGCGCCUUCUUUGUUCGCAUUCUGAUUGGCUGCCGAGCAGUGGUGGUGGUGUGCGGACUUCUGUGCGCCGAUUGGUCCGACUCCGACCCGCAGCGGACCCGGCCAGCUGCCCCAGACCCCGGGCGGACCGCGACCGCUGCGACAGGCUACCCGGGAGCGCGGGGCUGCGGGGGCGGGUUGCAUGCGGGGCACGGGCUGCGGCUCGGGGCAGUCCCCGAGGAAGCAGCAGCGCUGCGGACGGGUUUGUGAGGUGCCGCCGCCCGGCCGCUCUCUCCGCCGAUCGCCCCGCGCCUGCGCCGGGUCGCCGCCCCCGCCCCCGUGCGGCGCCCGGCCCAGCCCGGCCUCGUGCCACGGGGGGCCGCGUCUGGGGUUGCGGGGCGGGGCGGGGCCGGCGAGCGGGGCGUGGGGCUGUGCGGGCACGGGCGUGGGCUCGUGGGAAACCCGCCACUUUGUGUGGUGAUUUGGAGGCGUUUGUACGGAAACGUUUGUGGAAAUGUGGGACAGCUGGACAAUUCUGUGGGGAUCGGGAACUUUCCUGUGGAAAUGUGUGGAAUUGUGUGUUCUUUCGGUUCGUUUGUUCUUGAAAACUGGUCAUUCUGUGCAGUGAUAAAGGACUUGUUUGGAAAUGAUUGUGACUGUGGAAAACGUGAUUUGGGAACCGUUCCUGAAAAUGUGUGUGGAAAUAUGGUAGAAAAUGGUGUGGAAAUGUUGGGGUCAUUUGGGAACGUUUUUGUGCGGUGUGGUAAGCAUGUUGAAAUAUGGUUAUGUUGUGUGAGGGACAUGGUGUGGGGAUUUGGAAACCUUUUUUGAGGGCACGUGGUGGGUUUUGUGUGGAGCCGCCGGCCGGGCAUUUCCUGUCAUGGUGCGAGAAGUCUUAAUGGGAAUGUCAGGGUAGUCUGGAUGUGGGCUUUGAGUGGCUGCAGCAAGAAGGUUCUGGCAGGUGACAAGUGUGUGGGGCCACUGUUCCCUUGUGCCGAGCAGGAGCUUCUGCUUGGCCAUUGCCCCUAUUGCUGCUGCUCACUGUGGGUGGGUGACUCCAGAGCAGGUGCAAGGUAGGCCAGGGUCGGGGCUGUGCACACAGGUUCCGGCUGGUCUGGAGAUGGUCCUGUCUGCCAAGCCCAGAGUGGGAGCAGGGCAGAUGGGGGCAGAGCUGUGUUGGAGCUAGAAAGGCUGUCCAGCUGCAGCCGUGCUGCGUGGCCAGGGGGCAGCGGGUUGCACCAUGGGCUGGCCAGUACCUGUGUUGGGUUGGACUGUGUGUGGUGAUAAAUGGCCUUUUUUGGAAAUAUGGUGACUUUGUGGUAAGUUGAGUUUUUUUGGGAAGGGGGUACUUUUUUGGUGGGACGUUGGUAAUUUUGUGUGGUAAUGUGGAUGUGUUUUUGUGGAAAUGUUUGUGGAAAUAUGGUUGUGUCGGGAGAAUUCUGGUGAUUUGGGAAUGAUUUUUCUGGAAAUGUGUGCAAAUGUCAUUUUUGUUGUGGGAAACGUGAUUGUAUGGACUGAUGAUAUAGUACCUUUCCUUGGAAAUACGGUGGUUCUGUGUGGAAGACUGGCUACACUUUGUGGAAACAUGUAUAGCGAUAUGGUGAUUUUGUGUGUGGAAAAUGGCGUGGUAACUUUAGGGUGAGUAGGGAGGUUUUUUUUGGAUGGCUGGUGUGUCGUGGGACCUGUGUAAAAUUGUGUGGCAAUUGGGUUAGUGUAUGGAAAUAUGGUUAUGUUGUACGAGGGUAAAUUGUCUGGGGAUUUGGAAACCUUUUUUGUAGGAAUCUGUGUAGAUAAGUGGUGGUGAUUGUGUGUUGAUUUAGAAACUCUGGAAAUGUGCUGGGUCAGCCCAUGGUGGUCAUCUGAUCCACUGCGGUGCCGUUAAUGGUGCGUGCCAUUUCACCCAUGUGAAACUGUCUAACGUGGGUCUGCCUUUUCUCUCAGACUGCUCCUCGUGCACCUGUCCUUGGAGCCAGUGUGUCAGCGAGGAGCUGCAGCAUGACAGAGGCAGCACUUGGGGCGGAAGGGCCCCCAGGACCUGUCAUAUCUGCAGGGGUCACUCCGGGCACUCAGACGGGUGUGCAGGGCCUGCGGUGGUCCCUUGGAAACAGCCAGGGCAACACAGGUAACAGGUGAGUACAUGUUUCUGCUCUGACACGCUCAGCGGAUAGAACACACCAGCAGUUGCCUAGGCUUCUGCCUGGGCGCACACCAUCCAUGUGUCCUGCUCCUAUUGUAACACCUCCAGUGACUGCAGCUCUUGCCUCUAACUGCAUGUAGCACCCUUCAAAACCCUUCUCUUGGCUAUGCUGUAUCUAUGGAGGCAACAGUGCAUGGGGACUCUGUGGUGUCUGGCACUUCCGAGCAGGUGCAGAACUCCACUGAGCCACCCCAGGUGCCAGAAGUAUCAUUCUCAGGACAGAGGUCCAGUCAGGAGCUAGAUGAAACAACACGAUUGGACAUCUCUGAAAGACCGUCUGUGGAAGAUGUCGAGUCUGAAACUGGCUCCACUGGAGCCCUCGCGACCAGGAGCUUAAAGGACCACAAAGGUGAGGACAAGUGUUACUUGGAACAUGAGCCAGUCAGCCUUACAGACCUGAGGCUAGGGUGAUGGUCAUAUCUCUUGGCUGACUAACUGUCCACUUCUGCAGUGGGUGAUGGUAACUUCAUUCCUUAUCUGUUUUGCUAAUCCUACAAAGUGAUGUGUGUUUAGGCAAGAUGGUUGUGAUUGCUUCCAGAAAAAAUGUCAAAGCAGUCACACAGCCAACCUGUGUUAGCAGCACAAAUUGCAGGAAUGGGACUUGGACUGGCAUGUUCUCCAAGUAGGUGCGCAAAUAAAAGGAGCAAGCAAGGUGCACUGUCAAAUACAAGACAAAUGUGAAGUCAGUUUUAAGACCUAUUUUACCAAGUGUCCAAUAUCAUAACUGCUAAAAGCGAUGGGUCAGUUGAGGGAGACCUUGCUACAGAGCUUUUCUGAAUUGAGAGGUGGGAGUUGGUGAAACUACUAAUUGUGUGAUGCAAGAUACUAAUGUAGUUUGCAUAAAGAAACAAAACAUGUCUAUGCAGGUGAGAUACUUACUGAUGGGGAGAUGCAGUAGUCUAUAAAUGGCAUGGGUUUUUUUGUUUUUGAGCUCUACAGUCAGAAUGAAGUCAGCCUCAUACUGCAUGGAAAUAAAAGUGCAGAUUUAAAAAAAA